Molecule: small nuclear RNA, 117 nt
Organism: Amazona collaria (yellow-billed parrot)
Lineage: Eukaryota; Metazoa; Chordata; Aves; Psittaciformes; Psittacidae
Source: Ensembl
ACCGUCCUUAUCUGGGGGUUGCGUGGCUGCCCGAUGAGCGCAUGGCGAGGGCAGCACUGCUAACGCCUUGAACAACACACCGACGCCCGCCCCGUGCGCGGCGCAAUUUUUGGAACC